RNAcentral lists this non-coding RNA (24 nucleotides) under Mus musculus (house mouse). The record is from RNAcentral. Lineage: Eukaryota; Metazoa; Chordata; Mammalia; Rodentia; Muridae.
UACUAAGAAGUAUUGCUCCAGGAC